Molecule: ribosomal RNA, 489 nt
Filed under: Prevotella sp. oral taxon G70
Lineage: Bacteria; Pseudomonadati; Bacteroidota; Bacteroidia; Bacteroidales; Prevotellaceae
Description: bacterial SSU rRNA
Rfam family: Bacterial small subunit ribosomal RNA
Source: RNAcentral
GAUGAACGCUGGCUACAGGCUUAACACAUGCAAGUCGAGGGGAAACGGCAUUGAGUGCUUGCACUGAAUGGACGUCGACCGGCGCACGGGUGAGUAACGCGUAUCCAACCUUCCCGUUACUGCGGGAUAACCUGCCGAAAGGCAGACUAAUACCGCAUGUUCUUCGAUGACGGCAUCAGAUUCGAAGCAAAGAUCCGUCGGUAACGGAGGGGGAUGCGUCUGAUUAGCUGGUUGGCGGGGCGACGGCCCACCAAGGCGACGAUCAGUAGGGGUUCUGAGAGGAAGGUCCCCCACAUUGGAACUGAGACACGGUCCAAACUCCUACGGGAGGCAGCAGUGAGGAAUAUUGGUCAAUGGGCGGAAGCCUGAACCAGCCAAGUAGCGUGCAGGAGGACGGCCCUACGGGUUGUAAACUGCUUUUAUGCGGGGAUAAAGCGAGGGACGCGUCCCUUUUUGCAGGUACCGCAUGAAUAAGGACCGCUAAUUCCC